CCCGGUGCUUCUAGCGAAGUGGCUACACCCGUUCCCAUUCCGAACACGGAAGUUAAGCACUUCAGCACUAAUGAUAUUCCUUCGGGGAGAAAGUAAGACAGUGCCGGGU
This 109-nucleotide ribosomal RNA is filed under the name Candidatus Buchananbacteria bacterium RBG_13_36_9. Lineage: Bacteria; Candidatus Buchananiibacteriota. The record is from RNAcentral.